UACGUAGGAGGCAAGCGUUGUCCGGAAUCACUGGGCGUAAAGCGCGUGUAGGUGGUGCGACAAGUCUGCUGUGAAAGCGCCUGGCUUAACCGGGCGAGGUCGGCGGAAACUGACGUACUGGAGGCCGGUAGAGGGGGGUGGAAUUCCCGGUGUAGUGGUGAAAUGCGUAGAGAUCGGGAGGAACACCAGUGGCGAAGGCGGCCCCCUGGGCCGGGCCUGACACUGAGACGCGAAAGCUAGGGGAGCAAACAGG
RNAcentral lists this ribosomal RNA (253 nucleotides) under uncultured bacterium. RNAcentral describes it as "partial 16S ribosomal RNA". It matches the Rfam family "Bacterial small subunit ribosomal RNA", at positions 524 to 776 of the family's 1533-position model. The record is from RNAcentral.